AGACAUUGGGAGGCUUCCUGGUGGACAUGGUAAACUAGUUAAGGCUUCGGGAUGACUAAAAGUUUGACCACAGGGACAAUGAGUUACUGCAAAGAUGAGAGAAACAAACUGGAGAGAACGCGUUGCAGUUGGAUCCUAAGGGCCAGUGAUUCCAGGCUGAGAAUUCUGAUUGGGUCCGAAAGACAUGGAGGCGUGGGAGCCAGCUUAUCAGUUUAUGAGGUAGUAUGGUGGAGGAUGGUUUGAGAAAUGAAGACUGACUACAGGGCGUCCAGUGUUUGUUCCCAUCCGAUAUGCUACACAGUAAAUAAACUGUUAGCUGCCUUCCCCGACUAGAAAGAAGGCUCCAAGAGAGCAGAGAGACCAGGAUGUUUUGCUCGUGGUAGACUGAGUCAACGCUCCAUGUUCACCAACAAUGAAGGAAUUAGUGAAUGCAGGAAUCAGUGAAUGAAGAUUGACACGUGGCAUAGCUCCCCGGGGAACCAAAAUGAAAGAUGAGAAAUUCAAGGUCUUGAGAGAUUAAGUGGACUUCAUCUUGACUCCUUAAACACCAGAAUUGCCACAGUGCACACCAUCAGAGGAGCCUGUCUUCACAAGGCCAGCAGUGAAUUGGAUAGAGUGUGCCAAGUGGCUGGAUCAGCCUGUCCCAGGCUGGCAUUCUUACCAUUAACUGAACUGCAGGACACCGUAACAGUACCUGU
RNAcentral lists this long non-coding RNA (698 nucleotides) under Cricetulus griseus (Chinese hamster). RNAcentral's name for it is "lncRNA (ENSCGRG00015035024.1)". The record is from RNAcentral. Lineage: Eukaryota; Metazoa; Chordata; Mammalia; Rodentia; Cricetidae.